This 253-nucleotide ribosomal RNA is filed under the name uncultured bacterium. RNAcentral describes it as "partial 16S ribosomal RNA". It matches the Rfam family "Bacterial small subunit ribosomal RNA", at positions 524 to 776 of the family's 1533-position model. The record is from RNAcentral.
UACGUAGGGGGCAAGCGUUGUCCGGAUUUAUUGGGCGUAAAGAGCGUGUAGGCGGCCAGAUAGGUCCGUUGUGAAAACUCGAGGCUCAACCUCGAGACGCCGAUGGAAACCAUUUGGCUAGAGUCCGGAAGAGGAGAGUGGAAUUCCUGGUGUAGCGGUGAAAUGCGCAGAUAUCAGGAAGAACACCCGUGGCUAAGGCGGCUCUCUAGUACGGUACUGACGCUGAGACGCGAAAGCGUGGGUAGCAAACAGG